AGCGAGUGUAUGUUCUAUAGCUUCCAUGCUACAGUUUUUUCUUUUUCUUCUGUUUCAGAUUAUCCCGAGAAGCUCACGAACAACUGUGUUGCUUGAAUUGCAUGAUUUGCAUCAGUUGUAAGACAACCAAAAUUACUUGUAUAUCUAUAAAAACUGUAGUUCUACCUUCCCAUAGUAAUAAUAAGUAUAUUGUAAUGCUCAUAUAUACCAAUUACUAUUUUAUAACAUGAUGAAUCAUUCCCUUUGAUGUACUUUAGGAAUAGCUCUGUUUUACUGUCAUCUCUGCCCAGGAAAAGGGGAAAAAGACUACAAGUAAAAGCAUUGGGUCCACGACAUGUUGCCUCAAAAUUCCACAUCCGCCGUCGAUGCACAUUUCCUCGGAAUCGGCUGUAGCUUCCUACCUGUCCUCGACCCGAGGACUUCUCCACUGGCGGUGCCAAAAUUCUACAGAAAAGCCAAGCAUCCUUAUAGGUUCGCUGUUAUGCCUUCUGUGGACCUGAAGAGAGCGAGAAAUAUUCCCAUCGAGCAGUACGGUAUGUAGGCUAUUCCUAUCUUUUUUCCCCUUGCUUCAUGUUUCUAAUAUCUUAGCAAAGCAUGAACUUACAUGUAGUCUGUGCCUUGGACCUAAUAAAAUAUUUCAGAAUUAAAAAGUAGAAAUCGUAAUUUAGUUUACUUUACAUUUUGCCAGUACAUGCAUGAGGUGUUAGGAGGUAAAUGGAGAACUAUAUCGACAACAUCUUGCUGUAUGUUACUUAGGAGUUAAUGUAAUUUAACAAGUUACUCAAAGAAUUAAUUGAACGGCAUACUGCGUGCAUUUGACAAGUCUGCAAGAUGCACCUUCAAAUUAUUGCUGAAAAAAGAAUUGCAUGAUUACAAAAAUAUUACACAGGAUAUAUCUAAUGUCAUUAUUAAUUUAACCAAUCUCAAUACUAUGAUACAUAAGGUCGAGGUUAAAGAACUCUGAUAGGUUAAUUAAGGAUUAAUGGAACGACACACUACAUGAUAUUUCUUAUGUUAUUGAUAGUCAUCUAUAAAUAUCAUACUUCCUUUCUUCCAGAAUACAUGAGGUUUUUAGUAUAGACAGUCUCUAGGAUGCAGCCUGGCCAUUAUUCUAUACAUGAUUUUUUCGUGCAAGCUCCGUACCUUCUUGCAGCGGCCGGCUAGAUGUGCAUGCAUGGGUGCCGCCACAUAUAUAUCUUGGUCUGCGGCUCCACACAACUGUGUUUACAUGCAUUAUUUUUGACAAAAGGAAGGUGUUGCAGUUUCAUUGUGCAUGUAUAUAAAAGAUGUGCCGUGUUUACAAAGUUUUCUCAGUUUCAAACUGAAGUGUUGAUUUUCCAUGAACUCUAUUGCAGCAAGGU
RNAcentral lists this long non-coding RNA (1361 nucleotides) under Triticum aestivum (bread wheat). RNAcentral's name for it is "long non-coding RNA (TAES_LNC005253)". The record is from RNAcentral. Lineage: Eukaryota; Viridiplantae; Streptophyta; Magnoliopsida; Poales; Poaceae.